GAUGAACGCUGGCGGCGUGCUUAACACAUGCAAGUCGAACGGAAAGGCCCUGCUUUUGUGGGGUGCUCGAGUGGCGAACGGGUGAGUAACACGUGAGUAACCUGCCCUUGACUUUGGGGUAACUUCAGGAAACUGGGGCUAAUACCGGAUAGGAGCUCCUGCAGCAUGGUGGGGGUUGGAAAGUUUCGGCGGUUGGGGAUGGACUCGCAGCUUAUGGGCUUGUUGGUGGGGUAGUGGCUUACCAAGCGUUUGACGGGUAGCCGGCCUGAGAGGUUGACCGGCCACCUGACGCCUGAGAUACGGCGCAGACGCCUACGGGACGCAGCAGUGGGGAACAUGGCACAAUGGGCGGAAGCCUGAUGCAGCAACGCCGCGUGCGGGAUGACGGCCUUCGGGUUGUAAACCGCUUUCGCCUGUGACGAGGCGUGAGUGACGGUAAUGGGUAAAGAAGCACCGGCUAACUACGUG
RNAcentral lists this ribosomal RNA (468 nucleotides) under uncultured bacterium. RNAcentral describes it as "partial 16S ribosomal RNA". It matches the Rfam family "Bacterial small subunit ribosomal RNA", at positions 28 to 507 of the family's 1533-position model. The record is from RNAcentral.